UGACUCUCUGCGUCUACACUACUCCCUGCCCUUACCCUAUGAAUCAGAUUUUUUAUCAGCUGGGCAGAGAGAACAGCAUUGGAGAUGAACUGACAGAGCGGAUCAUCCGCGCAUACAGUCCAUAGGGAGAACAGACGGUUCUGGGUGUAUGUGGUGAUGCCUAUUCUACUCAGCUUCGAAGGCGACAUCUCCUCAGGAGGGGGCCAAGCCAUCAAAGCCAUCAUGUACUUUAAUUACAGGACCAUGUGUCGCAGAGAUCGCUCCAUCAUUGAGAGACUGAAAUAUGUUCUCCGGUUCUUGGCGUUUUCAUUCGGUGAAGGAUGCGUGGCCUGCCGGGCAGAUGGACAUGCUAACGUAUGGAAGUUGCUGAAAGCGUAAUAUAAAGUUGUUUGGAAGGUGUAGGCUAUGGUAUGUAGAAAGAUUUGACUGAUGGAAGCUUUGGGAAAGUUUGUGUGGGGUUUAUUGAUCUCUGUGUUGCAGUCCUUUUGCUCAGGUUAGAUGGCUCGUCCCUCUGACCGCCCGCCACCCUCCCACGGUUUUCCGCCAGGCCGAUUGCUGGGACUUCUUCGAGGUUUGCAUGGUCCCAUCCCGCCCGGCAUCACUGCAUCGUUUGAGAACAUUUCCCUACACUCGACAUAGCCAACCCCGCUGGAGGCCGAGAUGGCCCCCGAUUGGUUUCGCUCUAUGGACCUUUUCGUUGUGACCGUGGUGGUGUUUGCACCACUUUAGAAGUGUUCACAGGGAGUCUACGCGGGUCAAGAAAAGGUCCAAAAGUGGGGAGUAGUACACACCAGAUCCGUAAUCUCCAGUGUUUGCAGCGACUGAGACCAAAGAAGAUUACAGACCCGGGGUUGAGGAACAGACUAUGCUAACUGCUACGUUUAAAUUUAUGAAGCUACCACUAGACGUUUGACUGGACAUUGGAUUUGGGAAGAUACCAGUGGGAAUUAUAACAACGGCUGUUUAGAUGUAUUGUUCCCGCAAGAAUAGAGACAGUUUCGGCUGCCUCUUUGGCCUCGCUGCGAGCGAUCCAACGGGAACAUGCAGGAACACUAACCCGCCUGAGGGAGGGGUGCUGACGUAUUCCCUGUGCCCGAGGGUUCCG
Esox lucius (northern pike) is the source of this 1105-nucleotide long non-coding RNA. Lineage: Eukaryota; Metazoa; Chordata; Actinopteri; Esociformes; Esocidae. The record is from Ensembl.